Molecule: ribosomal RNA, 253 nt
Filed under: uncultured bacterium
Lineage: Bacteria
Description: partial 16S ribosomal RNA
Rfam family: Bacterial small subunit ribosomal RNA
Source: RNAcentral
UACGUAGGGGGCGAGCGUUGUCCGGAUUUAUUGGGCGUAAAGCGCGCGUAGGCGGAGCGUUAAGUCUGGCCUGAAAGCCCCCGGCUCAACCGGGGAAGGUGGCUGGAAACUGGCGUUCUUGAGGGCGACAGAGGAGAGUGGAAUUCCUGGUGUAGCGGUGAAAUGCGUAGAUAUCAGGAGGAACACCCGUGGCGAAGGCAGCUCUCUGGGUCGGACCUGACGCUGAGGCGCGAAAGCGUGGGGAGCAAACAGG